Long non-coding RNA from Arabidopsis lyrata subsp. lyrata, 972 nucleotides. RefSeq lists it as uncharacterized. NCBI's taxonomy places the organism in Eukaryota, Viridiplantae, Streptophyta, Magnoliopsida, Brassicales, Brassicaceae. The transcript is spliced from 2 exons. The record is from RefSeq and is a predicted model, not a curated record.
UUAAUGCCAUAACCAAAUCUGUUUGUUAUCAUUUAAAGAGAUUUCUAUAACAAACAAAUCCAAUAAAUUUAGAUUAAUAAAUAAAAAUAAAUCUCUUUUAAAACGAUAUAAGUUAUUAUAUAUACCAUAUCUAACAAUAACUAAAUAUUAUGAUCCUAACAAAUCGAGCAUCUAUACCUAAAAACACUGAAUUCGCAAAUUCAUAUUGGAAAAAAACCUAAAUAAUCAAUUAUAUACCUUAAACCAUGGUACAAAUAACGGAUUCACAAAUAUAUUAUUUAGAUCUGAUUCCAUAAACCCUCAAACAAUCUAGCCGACCCUUUUCCCUAUAAAUAUAGAUGCCUAAUGCCAUUGAGGAUACAAACUAACCUUUCUCUACGAAAACUUUGUUGUUUCUAUUCCUUUUAAUAAAAUGGCUGCAAAUCUUAGCAUCAUCACUCUUGCUGACAUCAAACCAUUCAUAUGGGUUUAAGAUGUUUUAAAUAUUUAGCCGACCUUCUUUUCCUAUAAUUAUUAAAGUCUACUACCAUUUUCAUUACUCACCAAUCUUUCAACUUUUUGUUUUCUUUUGCUACUCCGUUUUUCAUUUCAAAGUGUUUUCCUUUUUUCCAGAAUCUCAAACCUUAUAUUUAAAACAACUUAGUUUUGGUUUUUCUAAAGUUUACCAUUUUCUUAAGCCAUAUGAAGUUAACCCUUUCAUAUACAGAAGCAAUAAAGAUGGCAACUUUGGCUAUAUAUUUUCGGACUCGGGAAUCAAAUGCAUAGGUAUUUAAAACUAAUAGGUAUCUUUUUGUGACAUUGUGUUAUUUAUUUCAAUUUUUAAAUUAGUCAUUUAGUCAUUUAGAGUUAAGAUAUGUUAUGGUUUUAUAUUAGAUUGCCGACAGAGAGUAAAUAUUAAUAUGUGUAUGAAAACUACUAAACCCAAGAACUAUGCAGAAUGACACAAGAAGCAAGGACGAAAUCAUUUUAAAA